Molecule: ribosomal RNA, 440 nt
Filed under: uncultured bacterium
Lineage: Bacteria
Description: partial 16S ribosomal RNA
Rfam family: Bacterial small subunit ribosomal RNA
Source: RNAcentral
CCUACGGGAGGCAGCAGUGGGGAAUAUUGCACAAUGGGGGAAACCCUGAUGCAGCGACGCCGCGUGAGUGAAGAAGUAUUUCGGUACGUAGAGCUCUAUCAGCAGGGAAGAAAAUGACGGUACCUGACUAAGAAGCCCCGGCUAACUACGUGCCAGCAGCCGCGGUAAUACGUAGGGGGCAAGCGUUAUCCGGAUUUACUGGGUGUAAAGGGAGCGUAGACGGCAGCGCAAGUCUGGAGUGAAAUCCCAUGGCUUAACCAUGGAACUGCUUUGGAAACUGUGCAGCUAGAGUGCAGGAGAGGUAAGCGGAAUUCCUAGUGUAGCGGUGAAAUGCGUAGAUAUUAGGAGGAACACCAGUGGCGAAGGCGGCUUACUGGACUGUAACUGACGUUGAGGCUCGAAAGCGUGGGGAGCAAACAGGAUUAGAUACCCCAGUAGUC